AGCUCCGGUGGCCUAGUCCCUAGAGCGUCAGCCUCUGAUGCCGGAGGGCGUGGGUUCGAUUUCCUGCCGAGUCA
Potamilus streckersoni is the source of this 74-nucleotide non-coding RNA. The record is from the annotation of a GenBank genome assembly. NCBI's taxonomy places the organism in Eukaryota, Metazoa, Mollusca, Bivalvia, Unionida, Unionidae.